Molecule: ribosomal RNA, 221 nt
Filed under: uncultured bacterium
Lineage: Bacteria
Description: partial 16S ribosomal RNA
Rfam family: Bacterial small subunit ribosomal RNA
Source: RNAcentral
CGUGGGCAACCUGCCCUGAAGCGGGGGACAACAGCUUGAAAGAGCUGCUAAUACCGCAUGUGAACGGGAGUGGCAUCACUCUUUGUUCAAAGGACUUCGGUUCACUUCAGGAUGGGCCCGCGGCCUAUCAGCUAGUUGGUGAGGUAACGGCCCACCAAGGCUUCGACGGGUAGCUGGUCUGAGAGGACGAUCAGCCGGAUUGGGACUGAGAUAUGGCCCAG